Molecule: ribosomal RNA, 913 nt
Filed under: Phaeolepiota aurea
Lineage: Eukaryota; Fungi; Basidiomycota; Agaricomycetes; Agaricales; Squamanitaceae
Description: partial large subunit ribosomal RNA
Rfam family: Eukaryotic large subunit ribosomal RNA
Source: RNAcentral
CAUUAGCGGAGGAAAAGAAACUAACAAGGAUUCCCCUAGUAACUGCGAGUGAAGCGGGAAAAGCUCAAAUUUAAAAUCUGGCGGUCUUUGGCUGUCCGAGUUGUAAUCUAGAGAAGUGUUAUCCGCGCUGGACCGUGUACAAGUCUCCUGGAAUGGAGCGUCAUAGAGGGUGAGAAUCCCGUCUUUGACACGGACUGCCAGGGCUUUGUGAUGCGCUCUCAAAGAGUCGAGUUGUUUGGGAAUGCAGCUCAAAAUGGGUGGUAAAUUCCAUCUAAAGCUAAAUAUUGGCGAGAGACCGAUAGCGAACAAGUACCGUGAGGGAAAGAUGAAAAGAACUUUGGAAAGAGAGUUAAACAGUACGUGAAAUUGCUGAAAGGGAAACGCUUGAAGUCAGUCGCGUUGGCCGGGAAUCAACCUUGCUCUUUUGCUUGGCGUACUUUCUGGUUGACGGGUCAGCAUCAAUUUUGACCGUUGGAUAAAGGCUUGGGGAAUGUGGCAUCUUCGGAUGUGUUAUAGCCCCUGGUUGCAUACAACGGUUGGGAUUGAGGAACUCAGCACGCCGCAAGGCCGGGUUUUUAACCACGUUCGUGCUUAGGAUGCUGGCAUAAUGGCUUUAAUCGACCCGUCUUGAAACACGGACCAAGGAGUCUAACAUGCCUGCGAGUGUUUGGGUGGAAAACCCGGACGCGUAAUGAAAGUGAAAGUUGAGAUCCCUGUCGCGGGGAGCAUCGACGCCCGGACCAGAAAUUUAUGGACGGUUCCGCGGUAGAGCAUGUAUGUUGGGACCCGAAAGAUGGUGAACUAUGCCUGAAUAGGGUGAAGCCAGAGGAAACUCUGGUGGAGGCUCGUAGCGAUUCUGACGUGCAAAUCGAUCGUCAAAUUUGGGUAUAGGGGCGAAAGACUAAUCGAACCA